GACGAACGCUGGCGGCGUGCUUAACACAUGCAAGUCGAGCGGUAAGGCCCUUUCGGGGGUACGACGAGCGGCGAACGGGUGAGUAACACGUGGGUGACCUGCCCUCAGCUCUGGGAUAAGCCCGGGAAACUGGGUCUAAUACCGGAUAUGACUUCAUGACGCAUGUUGUGGAGUGGAAAGCCUUGUGCGGCUGAGGAUGGGCCCGCGGCCUAUCAGCUUGUUGGUGGGGUGAGGCCUACCAAGGCGACGACGGGUAGCCGGCCUAAGAGGGCGACCGGCCACACUGGGACUGAGAUACGGCCCAGACUCCUACGGGAGGCAGCAGUGGGGAAUCUUGCGCAAUGGGCGAAAGCCUGACGCAGCGACGCCGCGUGA
This 375-nucleotide ribosomal RNA is filed under the name uncultured bacterium. Its description in RNAcentral is "bacterial SSU rRNA". It matches the Rfam family "Bacterial small subunit ribosomal RNA", at positions 28 to 404 of the family's 1533-position model. The record is from RNAcentral.